Lycium barbarum (goji berry) is the source of this 733-nucleotide long non-coding RNA. RefSeq lists it as uncharacterized. The transcript has 3 exons. NCBI's taxonomy places the organism in Eukaryota, Viridiplantae, Streptophyta, Magnoliopsida, Solanales, Solanaceae. The record is from RefSeq and is a predicted model, not a curated record.
CGAAUCUCGGCUCUUACGAUUAUUUUUUUUAAAAAAUAUUUAUGCAGUAAACUGUUGUACAAACCUGCAUUUAAUGUAGUUUUUUUUUUUUUUAAUCUUUUUAUUGUUUAGUCCCCCUCCCAUUUUACUUUUUCAUUAAAUCCCUCCCCCCAAAAGCCCCAAAUUCCAAAAGAUUUUUUCCCACUUCCCACUCAUCUUUUCCCAACGUAAUAAGAAGAAACUCCUUUGGCUCUCUUCAUUCUCAAACCCUUCUUCCAUUCUUCCAUUAUCAAGUUUCUCACAAAUCACUAAGUUAGGAACGUCACCCAGUCGAAUCUAUUGUCGAUAUUCAUUAAUUUCUCCGACAAUCGAAUUCGAGCCGACGAUCGGACUUCUCUUACGGCCAAAUAUUUAUCAUCUCUACGGGAUUAAAUCUCGAGUGGUUGCGAAGUAAAAUUGAUGAGAUUAUGAAAGUUCCAGGUAGGAUCGACCUUUACUCCUCGUCGCUGACAGUGAUCGAGGAUUGCCAUUUCGAGCCUUACAAGGUGAGCACGAGAACGUUCGCCGCCUUGAAGAUUCUCAUUUAUUUAUGUCUUACUUAAUAUUCUGAGACAUAUUGAGACUAUUGAGACUAUUGAUGUAUUAUUAUUACUUCCAGACUUGUAGAUUCUAGUUAGAUGCUCUUGUAUGACCAGACCAGAUACUGGGAUGGUUUUGAUGUAUUUCCGCUUUGUUUAUCUACUUAUAUGUCAGA